GCAAACUGAUAGGAUCAGGGAGCAUCAGAACCUCUGUUCCAGCUGUGAAGGCAACUUAACAGACAAAAUCUAGAACAAGAUAAGGAAGAAUAAUGAAGAUUUUGUGGAUACUGCUACUUGUUGGCAUCCAGAUAAUGACCAUACAUGCUCAAACAACUGGAACAGCUUCUCCUACGACCACGACUGCUCCAACAACCACAGCUGCUGCAACAACCACAGCUGCUCCAACAACGACAGCUGCUGCAACAACAACCACAGCUGCUCCAACAACCACAGCUGCUUCAACAUCCACAGCUGCUCCAACAACCACAUCUGCUGCAACAACGACCACAGCUGUUCCAACAACCACAGCUGCUGCAACAACCACAGCUGCUCCAACAACCACUGCUGCUCCAACAUCCACAGCUGCUCCAACAACCACAAGUGCUCCAACAACUACAGCUGUUCCAACAACGACCACAGCUGCUGCAAUAACCACAGCUACUCCAACGACCACAGCUGCUCCAACAUCCACAGCUGCUCCAACGACCACAGCUGCUCCAACAACCACCUCAGCUCCUGUAGCAGCAACAACAAUUCUCACUGCUACAACUUCAGCAACAACCACAGCCUCUGCAGGAGUUACUUAUAAAGGAAGUUUUCUUUUAAUCACAGCACUCAUUGCAUCUGCUAUUUUGAAAUGAAGAAACAAUUGUUUAAUGCAAAGAAAAAAUGUCUACAAACUUUUAAUGAUUUAUUGAAAUUUAUGACUGUCUUUUAUCUUUUU
Long non-coding RNA from Cyprinodon variegatus (sheepshead minnow), 766 nucleotides. RefSeq lists it as uncharacterized. The transcript has 3 exons. The record is from RefSeq and is a predicted model, not a curated record. NCBI's taxonomy places the organism in Eukaryota, Metazoa, Chordata, Actinopteri, Cyprinodontiformes, Cyprinodontidae.